RNAcentral lists this ribosomal RNA (490 nucleotides) under uncultured bacterium. RNAcentral's name for it is "partial 16S ribosomal RNA". It matches the Rfam family "Bacterial small subunit ribosomal RNA", at positions 29 to 507 of the family's 1533-position model. The record is from RNAcentral.
AGUGAACGCUGGCGGUAGGCCUAACACAUGCAAGUCGAACGGCAGCACAGGAGAGCUUGCUCUCUAGGUGGAGAGUGGCGGACGGGAGAGGAAUACAUCGGAAUCUGCUCAGUCGUGGGGGAUAACGCAGGGAAACUUACGCUAAUACCGCAUACGACUUUCGGGUGAAAGAGGGGGAUCGCAAGACCUCUCGCGAUUGGAUGAGACGAUGUCGCACUAGCCAGUUAGUAGGGUAAUGGCCUACCAAGGCGACGAUCCGUAGCCGACCUGAGAGGGUGAUCGGCCACACUGGAACUGAGACACGGUCCAGACUCCUACGGGAGGCAGCAGUAGGGAAUCUUCCGCAAUGGGCGAAAGCCUGACGGAGCAACGCCGCGUGAGUGAUGAAGGUCUUCGGAUCGUAAAACUCUGUUAUUAGGGAAGAACAAAUGUGUAAGUAACUAUGCACGUCUUGACGGUACCUAAUCAGAAAGCCACGGCUAACUACGUG